This 903-nucleotide non-coding RNA is filed under the name Paulasterias sp. SS-2022. Lineage: Eukaryota; Metazoa; Echinodermata; Asteroidea; Forcipulatida; Paulasteriidae. The record is from RNAcentral.
AACUGAUUUGGUCCUAGUCCUCUUAUUGACUAUUUCUACAACGAUACAUGCAAGUUUUACAGCGACACAGUGAGUAGCUAAAGCACCAAUCUACAAAUGAAGUGCACUAAAUAAGUAUCAGACACAUUACAACAAAAUCAAAGACGCUUAGAAAUCUUCCACAUCUGCAGUACUUAACAUUACACAUCAUAAGCGAAAGCUUGAUGUAGUGAUAGAAAGAAGAACUGGUUAAUUAUGUGCCAGCCACCGCGGUUAUACAUAAAGUUCUAGUCAAGAAAUUCCGGUAAAAACUGUGGUAAAAUUCCUCCCCCCCCCCUGGAAUAGAAAUAAACUUCGGCAGUAAUAAGCUUCCAGGCCUCUAAUAACAAACACAAAAAAUUAAUUUCAGCAUAUUGAACCCACCAAAGCUCCAAAAUAAACUGGGAUUAGAUACCCCACUAUAAGAGCCAUAAAAUUGCACUUACACCUGAGAACUACGAACAAAAGUUUAAAACUCAAAGGACUUGGCGGUCUUAUAGACCUUCCUGGAGGAGCUUGCUAUCUAACCGAUAAUCCACGUUAAACCUUACCAGCCCUUGAACACCAGCCUGUAUACCAUCGUCGUCAGCCUACCCCCCAAGGAAAGUAUACAAAAUGGGCCAAAAUUCCCACUACGCCAGAUCGAGGUGCAGCUUAUGGGCUGGGGAUCAGUGAGCUACAAUGAUAAAACAGCAACACCCUAAAUAAAAUUUUGAAUAAGCCAAAGAAUCUUUGUUUUGAAACCGGAUUCAGCAGUAAUAACUAACAGAAAAUAGUUGUGAACCUUUAGCUCUAUAAUGCGCACACAUCGCCCGUCACUCUCGUCGCACCAGAGGAGAAAAGUCGUAACAUAGUAGGCGUAUUGGAAAAUGUGCCUGGAAUAAA